AAGGUUCAUGAGUAGUUGUCUCCUUCCCCUUGUUUCCUCAUACAUCAAAGCAGGACACAUGCAUGCCACUGAUCGUCGUGUCGUCCCAUGCAUGGAGCUAGCUAGCGAGAGCUCCAUAAAGCUGUAACUUUACAACUCUGCCUCCAUGCAUGUUCUGAUUUAUAUAUUCCAACUGCACAGGUUUUUAUGAAACAUUUCCAUGAAUGUGUAGCAUGCAUGCAGUAGAGAGCCUACAUAUAUAUAUGACAUUGCAUUUGGAUCAUAUAAAGAGAUGUUUUGCGAAAUUAUUUGGUAGACUGAGCAGAUUUGCAGAGAAUUGGAACAAGCAGAGAAGACGAUGUGCAUACAAAACAUAUUCACAUCCAAGUGAUCGAUGGCAUUAACUUUAAUUUGUUGGCGACGCUCUCACUUAUGAAGCUAUGAUAGAGAUAUACAGGUUGUGGUAUGGUAGCAGACUGGUCGGCUUGGCCAGUAUGUAAAGAGUCAAGUUCCUUAUGUACUGGCUAGAUACAUACGUGGACUAUGAUAGAGAUAUACAGGUUGUGGUAUGGUAGCAGACUGGUCGGCUUGGCCAGUAUGUAGAGUCAAGUUCCUUAUGUACUGGCUAGAUACAUACGUGGACUUUUGUUUGGUUGUUCGCAUUAGUAUAUUCAGGUUAGAUAUAGCUAGUGUUUGGUUGUUUGAAUAAGAACAAAGAUCAAAUAAAUAAAUAAAUAAAUAAAUCUUCAAUAUU
This 733-nucleotide long non-coding RNA is filed under the name Zea mays. RNAcentral's name for it is "long non-coding RNA NONZMAT002528". Lineage: Eukaryota; Viridiplantae; Streptophyta; Magnoliopsida; Poales; Poaceae. The record is from RNAcentral.